AGAUUAAACAUAAGAGUUUGAUCCUGGCUCAGAUUGAACGCUGGCGGCAUGCUUUACACAUGCAAGUCGAACGGCAGCACGGAGAGCUUGCUCUCUGGUGGCGAGUGGCGAACGGGUGAGUAAUGCAUCGGAACGUACCGAGUAAUGGGGGAUAACUGUCCGAAAGGAUGGCUAAUACCGCAUACGCCCUGAGGGGGAAAGCGGGGGAUCUUAGUGACCUCGCGUUAUUUGAGCGGCCGAUGUUGGAUUAGCUAGUUGGUGGGGUAAAGGCCUACCAAGGCGACGAUCCAUAGCGGGUCUGAGAGGAUGAUCCGCCACAUUGGGACUGAGACACGGCCCAAACUCCUACGGGAGGCAGCAGUGGGGAAUUUUGGACAAUGGGGGGAACCCUGAUCCAGCCAUGCCGCGUGUCUGAAGAAGGCCUUCGGGUUGUAAAGGACUUUUGUUAGGGAAGAAAAGCCGGGUGUUAAUACCACCUGGUGCUGACGGUACCUAAAGAAUAAGCACCGGCUAACUACGUGCCAGCAGCCGCGGUAAUACGUAGGGUGCGAGCGUUAAUCGGAAUUACUGGGCGUAAAGCGAGCGCAGACGGUUAAUUAAGUCAGAUGUGAAAUCCCCGAGCUCAACUUGGGACGUGCAUUUGAAACUGGUUAACUAGAGUGUGUCAGAGGGAGGUAGAAUUCCACGUGUAGCAGUGAAAUGCGUAGAGAUGUGGAGGAAUACCGAUGGCGAAGGCAGCCUCCUGGGAUAACACUGACGUUCAUGCUCGAAAGCGUGGGUAGCAAACAGGAUUAGAUACCCUGGUAGUCCACGCCCUAAACGAUGACAAUUAGCUGUUGGGACACUAGAUGUCUUAGU
This 858-nucleotide ribosomal RNA is filed under the name Snodgrassella alvi. RNAcentral describes it as "bacterial SSU rRNA". It matches the Rfam family "Bacterial small subunit ribosomal RNA", at positions 1 to 844 of the family's 1533-position model. Lineage: Bacteria; Pseudomonadati; Pseudomonadota; Betaproteobacteria; Neisseriales; Neisseriaceae. The record is from RNAcentral.